Molecule: ribosomal RNA, 254 nt
Filed under: uncultured bacterium
Lineage: Bacteria
Description: partial 16S ribosomal RNA
Rfam family: Bacterial small subunit ribosomal RNA
Source: RNAcentral
UACGGGGGGAGCAAGCGUUGUUCGGAUUUACUGGGCGUAAAGGGCGCGUAGGCGGCCAGCACAAGUCAGUUGUGAAAUCUCCGAGCUUAACUCGGAAAGGUCAACUGAUACUGUGCAGCUAGAGUGCGGAAGGGGCAACUGGAAUUCUUGGUGUAGCGGUGAAAUGCGUAGAUAUCAGGAGGAACACCUGCGGUGUAGACGGCUUACUGGACCAUAACUGACGCUGAGGCACGAAAGCGUGGGUAGCAAACAGG